ACUUCGGGAUAAAGCUUGGCUCUGAUGAAAAUCAGAACCGAUUGUUACGCGGAGAGCCCAACUGUUUAAUAAAAAACGUAGUGUCGCGCUGUGGUAGUAUAGCCAGUGAACGCGACAUGAAUCCUGCUCAGUGCUGUGUCUGUUAAUAUGGUUCAAGCCAACGAAGCACCGGUAAAUAGCUGGGGUAACUAUGACUCUUAUCAAAGUAGCGAAAUACCUCGUCACUUAAUUAGUGACCUGCAUGAACGGAGCUAUGAGGUUCUCACUGUCCCAAACUGUCUCUCAGCGAACCAACUGUAGUGGGAACGGUCACUAGAUAUCCAGCGGGGAAAGAAGACCCUGUAGAGCUUCACUUUGGUCUAGUCUUGUAUAGUUCCUGCGGGGGUGUAGACUAGGUGGGAGAGCAAUCGAUUCUGAAAAACCACUACCCUGUUUGGAAUUAUGCUUACCUAUCACAAGGAAUAGGACUAGAUAGAAAGUUUGGCUGGGGCGGCACACCUUCGAAAGAGCAGCGAAGGUGUCCUAAGUUGAGCUCAGUGAGGACAGAAAUCUCACGUUGAGGAUAAGGCCAAAAGCUCAAUUUACUGUGCCUUUUUGUACUAGGAUCAGUUACGAAAGUAAGGCCUAACGAUCCCUAAAUAGCCUCAGGUGCGUGAGGAUUGGGGUGACAGACAAGUUACCUCCGGGACAACUGGCUUGUGGCUGCUAAGAGAUCAAAUCAACGCAGCUUUUUGAUUCUUCGAUGUCGGCUCUUCCUAUCCUAGUGAUGUACAAGUUGCUAAGGGUCGGAUUGUUCACCCGUAUUAGGGAUCGUGAGCUGGGUUUAGACCGUCGUGAGCCAGGUUUGUUUUAUCCUACUGGAUAUAGCAUCAUGAUAGUAGAUUGAUUUAGUACGAGAGGAACUGUUGAUUAUGGCCUCUGGUUAGCGAUUAUCGGAAACGGUAUGUCGCGCAGCUACGCCGUCUGGGAUAAUG
Molecule: non-coding RNA, 974 nt
Filed under: Trichomonas vaginalis G3
Lineage: Eukaryota; Parabasalia; Trichomonadida; Trichomonadidae
Description: Eukaryotic large subunit ribosomal RNA
Rfam family: Eukaryotic large subunit ribosomal RNA
Source: Rfam by way of RNAcentral